CCCUGAUGUGGGUCAUUGACUCGUGCCCUGGUGGGCUAAUUCCCGGAAAAGAAAAUUAUCGGAUUUAGUGCCGUUAAAACUCACUCGCUGAUUCCUGUCUUGUAACCAUGCCCUAACCAUUUUAGAAUAUCUCCCCCAAUGCCAUGAGCCUCUACUUUUCUUAUUAGUCUUUUGUGGGGGACUCUGUCGAAGGCUUUGGUAAAGUCGAGGUAUACUACAUCAUAAUCGUUCGUGUAGUCCACUGAUUCGAAAACGGCUGAAAAGACUCUCCCCCCUGCUGGGAUGACUUCCUUUAUAAGUACACUUACUGAUUGGAAUCCAAGAAUAUCGCUCUCGCACCCUCUUUUCCAUGUCUAGGUAUUGUUUAAUGUUAUUUUGACUUGAGAAGUUUUGCAUUAAAAAUAUCGAUAUCUCGAAGAUAAAAAACUAUAAAAUAAGUUAAAGCAAAUAACAAUAUAGUUGUCCGACCACGUGAUCACCGCAUGGUCAGUGGCAGGAGAGGCGUGGGGCGCCCUGUGGCUUUAGUCUUUGUGUAGCAGUGGUAGAGGUUGGGUGUCCCGCGCUGCUCGCAGAUUUGGUUUUUGGUUAUAGUGCAUUUUGGGAGAUUUUCACCCGAGGAUGAUCUGGACCACAUUCUGAACACUACUGGUGAAUUACCUGAGAACCUAAGUGAUCUUGACAGUGAGGAUGAAGAACAAGUGGAUAAGUUAGAAUUUGAGGAACUAUAUGACAGUGAUAUAGACCAAGAUUACAACCCUGAACCUAGUGAUGUGGAGAGUUAUGAGUCUAGUGAUAGUGAAGUGCCCCUUCUGCCACCCUCAAGAGAAAAAGCAAGGCGUACGUCAACCUCUGCAAAACGUCGUGGUGCCUAUAGGUGUCUUGCCCCUGCUCCUGCCCCUAGCGGUUGAUCUCCUUGAGAACUGCGGCAUGUCCUUUUUGGGGACCAUCAAGGCGAACAAGAAGGAAGUUCCCAAGGAGAUGACGGAUAGGGACAACCGCAGGCUAGGGUCAACUGCGUUCCUGUUCACAAAGGAGCUGACUCUGGUGGCGUACGUCCCAACAACAUCCAAGACGAAGAAGAAACUGGUGCUACUGUUGUCUUCCAUGCACACACAGCCAACCAUCAGAAACACCGGCAAACCAGAGGUGAUCGAAUUCUAUAAUGCCACCAAAGGUGGCGAAGACACAUUCGACCAAAUGUGUUCCCAUUACUCGUGUGCACGGAAGACAAAACGGUGGCCGUUGUGUAUGUUCUAGUGGAUGGUGAAUGCUGGAGUUACGUGGAUCAUACACAAAAAUAAUAUGUCAAGGACAGGUGGCAAGUUACUGAAGAGGCGGACGUACAUGCAAGCUUUGGCACAGUCCCUCUUCACACCAUGGGCAGAGAAAAGGCUCCGCUCUCCAUUUCUAUCACGGGGACUCAAGUCCCUCAUUUGCAGCGUCUGCGACCUCCCUUCACCUGGAAGAGUUGCAAGGCCACCAGGGACACCAGUUGCUGACAGCAAGGACCCUUUGGUGCGGUGUGUCGAGUGCCCAAAGGGGUCUGACCGCAAGACACGGCACAGAUGCCACGGCUGCAGUCAACCGAUGUGCCCUCGCCACUUCUACCCUGUCUGUGCUAACUGCGUGCCAAACUCGCAGUGAUGCUGGGAGGUUGCGGCUGCCACAGCUGAGGCUCACCUGACCUGGCAGUACCCACACCAACGCUCAAGCCUUUAGCUGCAGUAUUAUAGUUCCUUAGCUUUUUUAUGUUCACUCAUAUAGUAAUUUUCAGUAUUUUUAGUCAUUUUUUCUAAGUCACCCCCCAAAGUAUAAGUUUAAGUUAUGUCAUGGUUCCUAGGGGGAAACUAAAGCAGAAGAGUUAUAUUUUCCAUGUAUUUUUAUAAUUUUAAUAUAUCUUAAUUACAA
This is a long non-coding RNA of Homarus americanus (American lobster), 1908 nucleotides long. RefSeq lists it as uncharacterized. NCBI's taxonomy places the organism in Eukaryota, Metazoa, Arthropoda, Malacostraca, Decapoda, Nephropidae. The transcript is spliced from 3 exons. The record is from RefSeq and is a predicted model, not a curated record.